CUAGCAGGCUUGGAGACUGAAGUCCUUUAUUCACAGAAGAGGUUCAGCAGAGGCAAUGACAAUGUUCACUUCCCCCAGACAGUUCUGUCAAAGUGCCUUUAUGCUGAAUUGCCUUCUCUGAGGAGUGAAAGGGCAGUUCAGUCCCCAUGUUCAUUGAACCCUUGGCCUUU
This is an unclassified non-coding RNA of Apteryx haastii (Great spotted kiwi), 170 nucleotides long. The record is from Ensembl. Lineage: Eukaryota; Metazoa; Chordata; Aves; Apterygiformes; Apterygidae.